Molecule: ribosomal RNA, 425 nt
Filed under: uncultured bacterium
Lineage: Bacteria
Description: bacterial SSU rRNA
Rfam family: Bacterial small subunit ribosomal RNA
Source: RNAcentral
GUGAGGAAUAUUGGUCAAUGGGCGUAAGCCUGAACCAGCCAAGUCGCGUGAGGGAUGAAGGUUCUAUGGAUCGUAAACCUCUUUUAUAAGGGAAUAAAGUGCGGGACGUGUCCCGUUUUGUAUGUACCUUAUGAAUAAGGAUCGGCUAACUCCGUGCCAGCAGCCGCGGUAAUACGGAGGAUCCGAGCGUUAUCCGGAUUUAUUGGGUUUAAAGGGUGCGUAGGCGGCCUUUUAAGUCAGCGGUGAAAGUCUGUGGCUCAACCAUAGAAUUGCCGUUGAAACUGGGGGGCUUGAGUAUGUUUGAGGCAGGCGGAAUGCGUGGUGUAGCGGUGAAAUGCAUAGAUAUCACGCAGAACCCCGAUUGCGAAGGCAGCCUGCCAAGCCAUGACUGACGCUGAUGCACGAAAGCGUGGGGAUCAAACAGG